This is a long non-coding RNA of Fukomys damarensis (Damara mole-rat), 415 nucleotides long. RefSeq lists it as uncharacterized. The record is from RefSeq and is a predicted model, not a curated record. The transcript has 3 exons. Lineage: Eukaryota; Metazoa; Chordata; Mammalia; Rodentia; Bathyergidae.
GGAAAGGCCACAAGUGAAAGUACCCAGAGGGUCACAGGAAAGUCACGGGACCUCUCCCCGCCUCAGUCCACAGAUGAGUCCUGGACAGAUUGGGUCUAAAUUGCUUAUUGCCCAGAUGAUCUUGAAGUCGUGAUCCUCCUGCCUCAGCUUCCCAGCACGCUGGGAUUGCUGGCAUGAACCACCAUCGCUGGCUUAGCCAGUGCUUCCUUAACUACACAUGCAGCUGUUCACAGAGAUAACUCCAAAGCAAAAGCAAAUUGUUUCGCCUUCACCUGUGCCCACCUUACUCUACCAGACACAAUCCAAAGACAAACUCACCCAACAUGUGCUCCAACUGGUGACGGGUUCUAGAAUGUUUGCUGCAAAUACUAACUAAAAUGGAGGGAGGCAGAUGAACGAAUCUUCUCUGUUCACA